GAAAUCGGAACUCGCAUUAGGGGGCAGAGCUCAUCAACUCCAUUCUUAAAAAAACGUGCAGGUCGCAAGGCAUUUGAAAAAUGUCAGUGAGAUGUACUUCAGUGAAGAUCACUUUCAUCCAUUCUCAUUGUUUCUACAUUUGGACUGCUAAAAAUGUUUUACCUGUUGUAUUUUUUAAAAAUUUUGUAUUUCGGCAUUAUACGCAAAUAAAAUAUUAUUUGUUCUUC
Molecule: long non-coding RNA, 227 nt
Organism: Stegodyphus dumicola
Lineage: Eukaryota; Metazoa; Arthropoda; Arachnida; Araneae; Eresidae
Source: RefSeq, a predicted model, not a curated record